Molecule: ribosomal RNA, 171 nt
Filed under: uncultured bacterium
Lineage: Bacteria
Description: partial 16S ribosomal RNA
Rfam family: Bacterial small subunit ribosomal RNA
Source: RNAcentral
AAUCGCUAGUAAUCGCAGAUCAGAAUGCUGCGGUGAAUACGUUCCCGGGUCUUGUACACACCGCCCGUCACACCAUGGGAGUCGGAAAUGCCCGAAGUCAGUGGCCCAACCGCAGGGAGGGAGCUGCCGAAGGCAGGUCCGGUGACUGGGGUGAAGUCGUAACAAGGUACC